CAGUCGCCGCGGUAAUACGUAGGUGGCAAGCGUUGUCCGGAAUUAUUGGGCGUAAAGGGCUCGCAGGCGGUUUCUUAAGUCUGAUGUGAAAGCCCCCGGCUCAACCGGGGAGGGUCAUUGGAAACUGGGAAACUUGAGUGCAGAAGAGGAGAGUGGAAUCCCACGUGUAGCGGUGAAAUGCGUAGAGAUGUGGAGGAACACCAGUGGCGAAGGCGACUCUCUGGUCUGUAACUGACGCUGAGGAGCGAAAGCGUGGGGAGCGAACAGGAUUAGAUACCCCCGUAGUCCCUGUCUCUUAUAC
RNAcentral lists this ribosomal RNA (301 nucleotides) under uncultured bacterium. Its description in RNAcentral is "partial 16S ribosomal RNA". It matches the Rfam family "Bacterial small subunit ribosomal RNA", at positions 509 to 807 of the family's 1533-position model. The record is from RNAcentral.